AUUAAUAUUACACUGCAUGUUAACUUUACUGGAAUUAAAAUUUAAAAAAUACAUAUACAAGGGGAUUCAAACACAAUCCCAGUGAAAAAAUGACCUAUUCGAGUCAUGGAACAAGAUUUUCCAUUUUCAAUAGCUGCCUAUGAAAAAAAUCUUGCUCCAGUUCCUAAAAUGAGAAAAAGCAAAAAAUAAAAUCGAAUGAAUGAAUGAAUGAAUUAGUAAAUAAAUCAAUACAUAUUGUUGUCAGUUGAACCAUCAUCUCUUGAUUUGUAUUUUUACAGACACCCGCUCAAGAGGAGAUCACGUCUCUAUUCAAGGGUCUUGUCCCUGGAGCUUUGCAGGUGUCCAGGUAAUGUGUCCCUAAUCCAGAUAACGAUCAUGGGAUUUUGCAGUUAUCCAAGCAAGAGACGACAUGCCCCUGCCAUGAUCUUGAUUCCCCUGCACAUGUCUAGGUAUCCAGACUUUUAAGGUAUUCUGGGAAGAGAUGAUGAUGGUCCUAACCACACUAAUGACGACAGAAAUUUGCACAUAUCCACUCAAGAGACGAUGGCAUCUCCGUCAACAUUGGUGGCUGUGGAGGUGGAAGAAAUGGAAUGCUUUUUUUUUUUUUUUUGAAACUAUAUAAUUUGUUAAAAGAAUUUUGACAUUCAAUGACUAGUAAAUGUUAUUCGAAAUUGUA
Molecule: long non-coding RNA, 676 nt
Organism: Lynx canadensis (Canada lynx)
Lineage: Eukaryota; Metazoa; Chordata; Mammalia; Carnivora; Felidae
Exons: 3
Source: RefSeq, a predicted model, not a curated record